This 11592-nucleotide long non-coding RNA is filed under the name Lathyrus oleraceus (garden pea). RNAcentral's name for it is "Pisum sativum (pea) long non-coding RNA (PSAT_LNC035052)". Lineage: Eukaryota; Viridiplantae; Streptophyta; Magnoliopsida; Fabales; Fabaceae. The record is from RNAcentral.
UUUUCUCUCAAACUCUCCAAAACUCCAUCAACAUUUUUUCAAGAUUUCUUCACCAAAUCUGCAUCAAUUUGCAUGAUUCUUCUUGAUUCAUCUUCCACAAGCCUUGAUAUACAUCUGUUUUGGCAAAUUCGUGGCAAUAGCAUCAAGAUCAUGGACUGUUGCAAGCUUGCACAACAAUGGUGAAUUGAUGAAUCUCAUAACUGGUGCUGUUUCAAGCUAACCUAAUCAUUCCAUUCAACUUCCUCGUCCUUAAGCAUCAUCUGUUUCACCUUCUUGGAGCCAAAAACAAGCUAAUUCGCAUCUGCCUUCAUCACUAGGUCAGUUUUCGAAAUUCUUCAUUGCUCAAAUUGUUAGGUGGUUUGUGUAGGUCUUUGAACGUAGAUUAACAUGAUGUGUUUAGUUUGUGAUUUGGUUAACUAUUGAAUGAGAAAUCGUGAGUUGAAUGUUUGUUGUCCAAUCUUAAAUUGCUCGAUCCCGUCGCUGUGCUUAGAGUUAGGUUAAAUCGUUUGCAUAUCAUUAAUCUAUGUUGAGAGACGGUUCUUUUGGUAUAUGGAUUGUAGCGUUUGGUUGAGUUAUGUUCUUGACCAAAUCUGGAAAUUUCUGCUUGUUCUUGGUGAAGAACAAGUGAAUAGUGCACGUUUGAUCCAUUAUUUCGCUUGGCAAUGUUUGAAAAGUGUUUGGCGCCACCAUUGUCCAAUCAGAGCGCUCCACUGCGUGUAUUUGAAACGGCGCCGUUUUGGCCAAUUUCAUAAGUAUUACAAAAAUGCCAUUCCUGAUUUAAUUUAUUUAUUAUUUCAUUUUCUUUUUCUUUCUUUAUUUCAUUUUGAUGCUUGAUCUUUAGAAAUUCAUAACUAACUCAUUUUUUAUCCAAUUUUGGUGAGAUUUUUUUCAUAAUACUCCUGAUGAUGUGUAUAAUUUAAUCAUGAUUUUUGUAAAUUUCUUUAUUUCAUUUUGAUGCUUGAUCUUUAGAAAUUCAUAACUAACUCAUUUUUUAUCCAAUUUUGGUGAGAUUUUUUUCAUAAUACUCCUGAUGAUGUGUAUAAUUUAAUCAUGAUUUUUGUAAAUUUUUUGCAUGUGUAGAAAAUUAAUUGGCUUAGGGAUUGUUUGAUGUGUCAUAUUUGAACAUGUUUUGCCAUAUCCUUCAUAAAAUGAUGAUACUUUCAAAGAAAUGAAUGAAAUAUUUUGUGCUUGUUCUGGACACUUUGAUGGUGAUUUUCAUGUAGAGUUUGUAAUUUUUGGAUACUUGGUGAAGGAGAUAUGAUUUUUUGAUUAGAGGUGUGACAAUUUGUGUCACACCAAGCUAGGUCAACUUCAUGAUUUUAUUUAAAAUGCUUAGGGAUGUUGAAUUUAGCUGAACUUUUGCAUGAAUGAACAUAAGUAUGUCAAGAUUACAUGAGAAUUUUUCUGGAUUUGUUGAUGGCAUUUUCUAAUUGAUUGAUAAUUUUCUUCUCUAUGUGGUCAUUUGGUGACAUUGUGUGACACAUGUUGGCAUUUCAUUUGUGAAGUUCUCAUAGUGUAUUGGAUGAAGAUGAAAUUCGAUAUGUGGAUUGUAGACACAUUGUAGGACUUUAUGGUUUUGAUCCCAUUCAUUUCUAAUGUGUUAUCACUGCUUUAUGAUUUAUUGAAGUUGGUGCUUAUUUGGAUGCCUUGUGUUGGCUUGUUUGAACUUGUCUGAACUUCUUGAUUUUCAUUGACCUACUUCCUCUUGUCCAAUUGUGAUGAAAUUUGAUAUGCUAUUCAUUGGAUAUGUCCUGUUUAGGUGUGAAUUUUUGUGGAAUUAAUUGAAUUGUUUUGAUAUGCUUUUGGUUGAGAUAGUUCUGUUUGGACUUUUGAGGUUGCAAAUUGCCUAGUUUGUGAUAUUUUGUGCAUGAAAUGAUAAUGGUGAAUGAUAUGAGCAUGGGACCAAUUGCAUUUGCUUUUGAAUUAGUUGAUUGUGAUUUUGGAUAAUUUUCACUUGCUGUUUUGGAUUUUUUAUCUCCUUUGGACCCUAGGCUUGGCCUAGUGGUCUAGUUUCUCAUGUUUGGUUUGGAUUUUCAGGAUGAAAUGCACCAUGCUUAAGGAGAUUGCUUCAAGUUAAUUGAGUUGACUUGUUUGAUGUUGUCAACUAACAUUGAUUUUGUGUUGUAGGGUUUGAUGCUUGAGUUUGAGCUCAUGGCUUGCACUUGUGUGCAUUAACUUGUGUUUGAUUGUACAGAUUAACAUUUGCUGUUUACUGUUGGUUUGUCUGGUGUACUGAUGAUACUUAAUUGAUUUCAGGUACAUUAGUUGCUCACAGUUCUUAGAGAACUUGUUUGCUGUUGCUUGGUUUUUUAAACCAAUUGAGGUAGAAUUCCUAACUCCAUGUAGUCUGGAAGACCUGGCCUGUUACUUGGCCGGGCACCUGUCUGAAGUCCUCCUUAAGAGGCGAUGUUUGUGUUUGUUUACAUUUGUGCCAAGCAGGUAAAGUCCUUGAUUAAGGCAAUUGGCGGAACCCAAGGGAUAUGCAAUCUAUCCCCCGCUAUUCUGUUGAGUCGUCCCUCUGCUCACACGGCCUGUGUUGACGCAUUGGGACAUUAACCCAAGAUCUUGUACAGUGUACAGUUGUGUCAGAGUCUUUGAGCGUAGAAGGGUUCCUCCUUUCUGAACCCACGCUCCUUUGUCUGAAGCUCUCCCUGACCAGGGAUAAGAGCUGUGAGGCACACCCCUCACUCACCUUUCAUCUGCUUCACCUUAGCCCCUCAAUGGCAAGGUUAAGAGCGAGCAUUACCUUGUACAGAUGACUUGUUUCGGCAGUCAAACCCUUUGUUUGAGCCCACUUCUGACUGGAUAUAGUGUGUGCUUUGUGAAUAUUUGUUUGCUCUGUUUUGCUUGUAUGCUUGUAUGCUUGCUUUCUUCCUGGAUAGGAUUAGCUUGCUGUUGCGCAAGUUAGGAUAGAAACCAUAACAUAGGGCAAUGAUGCAUGAUAACACUAGGCUCGAGUACAGCUCCCUAGUAGUGUGUCUCCCUUUGUCUCUGGUUAGAAUUUCUUUCCCUUUCAGGGGAACUACAUCGCCCUGAUCCUCGUUCCAGACGAGGUAUGUAGGCAGGAGGUCGUGCGAGACCUCUCCGGGCACUUUUUUACUUUUUUUGAGUGUGUUGUUGCUUGACGAUUGGCUAGGCUCGAGUUCCCGACUCCUUAGCAACUGUGUUUGUUUGUUCUUGUUGUGUGCUUGGGAAGCCGGUAUAAGUCCAUCAAGUGGCAUCUGGUUCCCAGUUGGGUUCUGUUUGGUUCGGAAGCGAUGUAAGUCAGCGAUGCGUUCGGUUCCAUGUUUGCUUGUUUGUUGUUUGUUGGCGUGGUGAGCGAACUACGGCAGCUCUGAUUCUCGUUCCAGACGAGAUACGUAGGCAUAGGAUGCGAUGUCCUACGAGCUCUCUUCCUCUUAACCCCACCUGGUGUGUCUUCGGUGUGUGUGUGUGUGUGUGUUUUAGCACCUUUUUCUUUUUUUAGAGCGUGGAUCCCGUCGAGUACGACGGACGUGAGGGGUGCUAAUACCUUCCCUUGCGUAAACCGCUCCCUACCUUUCUCUUUGGUCGCGAGACCAUGCUUUUCCAGGUUUCUCUGAGCGUUUCCUUUCCCUCUUGGAUAAAUACGCACGGUGGCGGCUCUGUGUUGUUUUUUGUUUUCAGCUCGCCGGUUGUUUUUCGCAGGAUGCACAGCUUGGCGACUUGCUGGGAUUUCUAGAUGUAUGACAUGUGCUGGUCCAUCUUCCCUAAGCGAGUCUCUCCUAGCGCUCUAGAUAGUUUUAGGUUUGCUUGUUUGUUUGUUUAUUUGCAUUUAUUUAUUCUGACUGUGUACAUAUUUUGCAUAAUAUUUGCAUGCAUCAUACUAAUCAUGGUUGCCGUCCUCUGUGCCAGGUGGUUCCUCUGUUUAGGGGGGUGUUUCUGAGUGGGGCUAAACCCAGGCCCGAGUAUAACACCUAGGAUUAGUGUGGUCUCAUGUUGCCUCCUUAAUGUUUAGGGUCAACAUGUGCCUGGCAACGUUGAUGACCCAAAGCCGACGGGUUCAUUUGAUAGUGCUUUCCAUUGUGGACAGUACUCCACUUUGGUUGAGUUUACUUCAGUCUAACGUGGACUCUGAGUGACGUCAUUCCCGGAUCCUGUGUUUAGACGAUCUUAAGGGAGCUACAAUGGCAACACCGAAGGCAAACCCAUUGAGUAUCUUUGCCCGAUUGUCGAGACUAUUAUCCGCCUUAGGGUGACCUGAUUAGAAUUUACCUGUGAGGGGAGGGUGGUUCUUACAGAUGCAUGUUCAGAUGGUGACUUUGAUGGUGACUAUUGGUUCCGUUGAUCAGAGUCCUAUUCAUGAGUCGGAUUUAUGGUCAUUUAUUGCCGAGACGCCGGAGUGCUGUCCGAGUUAUUUAUUAGUGGGGAUCCGUUUAUUUCAGGAUUCCCCGGGCCGAUUCAGAGGAUUGUGGGUAUCUGCUCAGAGAUUAUAUGAUGAUGAUGAUGUAUCUGUCAGUUCCGUUUAUUUCGGAAUCCCUUGAGUCGGAUUUGUGGUUACAUGUUCAUUCAGAUGGUUGUGAUCAGUCCAAAGAUCAAGGUUUCAGUGCAGAUGAUCAGAUGACUUGGAGGAUGGCAAUGCAUUGCAUUCAUUCAUCAGCAUCAUCAUAUUUUGCAUUUACCUGCAUCUAACACAUGUUUAUCCAUAUGUAGGGACAUUUUUGAUCGAGAUCCUGGUUGAGAGACUUUCUGUUCAGAGAUGAGGACCGGUUUGAAGCCUGAUGUUGCCUACAGUUUCUUCGACCCAGAGAUUGGUGUGCUGAAGGAGAUGAUAGCAUUGAUUACACCCGACCAUGUGGGGAUGUUCAGAGAGGCAUACGGUAGUAUCCUGAAGAUGGUUUUCAGAUUCACUGACAGUGACAGAAGCGCCAUUCAUACUCUUCUUCAGUUUUAUGACCCGGGUCUGAGAUGCUUCGUGUUUCCAGAUUAUUUGUUGGGACCUCUGAUGGAGGAUUAUGCUAGCAUUCUGGGUAUGCAGAUCUGUGACCAGAUUCCUUUCCAUGCUACUAGAGGAGAGCCUGAUGUCCUUGGGAUUUCCCGUGCUCUUUAUUUGAGUCCGGAAAUGAUCAAGGAGGGUUUGAAGGAAAAGGGGAAAUUACCUGGAUUUCAUUUGAGUUUCUUGGAAGCUAAUGCCAAGGAACACCCGUGCUCUUUAUUUGAGUCCGGAAAUGAUCAAGGAGGGUUUGAAGGAAAAGGGGAAAUUACCUGGAUUUCAUUUGAGUUUCUUGGAAGCUAAUGCCAAGGAACAUGCUGCAGUGGGUAAUUGGAAAACGGUUUGUGCUUUGGUUGCUGUGAGCAUUUAUGGGAUUAUUUUGUUUCCUAACCAGAAGAACUUUGUAGACCAUAAUGCUAUCAGAUUGUUCAUGCAAAGGAACCCUAUUCCUACUCUGAUCGGAGAUGUCUAUUACUCGGUCCAUAACAGGAACGAGAAGCGACGUGGUGGUCUGAUCCGAUGUUGCGCUCAAUUGUUGUUCAAGUGGUUUAUGGGGUAUUUGCCUUCCCGAGGUGCUUUUACUCAUUUUGAUCCUACUGUCAAGUGGUCAUUCAGGUUGAUGGGUUUGCGGGCUGCUGAUAUUGCUUGGACUCAUAAUGGUAUGGCUGGACGGGAUUUCAUAUAUAGCUGUGGGAGUUUACCCAAUGUGCCUCUUAUCGGAGUUCAGGGUUGCAUCAAUUACAACCCGGUGCUUCUCAGGAGACAGGUGGGGUUUGCUGUAGAGGGUCCUCCUCUCGGGCGAGAGAUCCAGGAGUCCUUUUACUUCCCGAUUGAUGGCAAUCAGGCCAAGUUGAGGCAAGUGUUGGAUGAGUGGCGUGAUAUCCAGAGAAAAGGCAAGGUUCCUUAUGGUAAGGUCAACAGUCGGUAUUUUCCUCUAUUUGAUGAUUGGUUGCGAAAGAGGAUUGAGAGUACACUUUUACCCUUUCCUGGAGGUGAUCUUGGGUGUCCUAGGAUUGAGGGUCCGAGUUCUUCUGUCAGUAUGGAAGAAUUCCUCGGGAUGAAAAGGGCCAGAGAUCAGUUACUUGCCGAGAAAGCGGAAUUGGAGAUGAGUGUUGCUCGGAUUCAGACGGCUAACCAGGAGAUCAAAGUGAAGAUGGAAGAUCAAGACAAGCGACAUGCCUUGGAAGCAAAGCGCUUUGAGAUGGAUACUGCCUACUAUGGGAAGGUCAGUCAGGCCUUGGCAUCUUCAACAAAGGAGCAUGACAUCACCAAAGAGAGAUUGGCUAGAGCUUCAAAGGUCAUUGAGGAUCAGAAGAGGAGGCAAAUCUUGGUGAAGGAUCAGAGGGACGACAGAGUCCGGGUUCUCAUUGCUGAGUGGGAAGCCAAGCUGAAGGUUAAGGAAAUGGAGAAUGUGAAGAUCACCGCUGAGAGAGAUCGUUGUGUUGCCGAGAGGGACCAUUACAUGGCUGAGAGAGAUCACUACUUCAGGCAGAUGAAGAUUCACCAGAAGGAAGUGGGGAGAUUGCAGCAGGAGAAUACCGAGCUCAGGUUCGCCGUAGAGUUCGCGAAGAUGGAAGCUGAGAUAGAGCCAUCUGUGGGACCCUCAUCAGGCUAGAUCUUUCAUUUGUGUGGAUUACCGUCAGGCUUGUUGACGGAAUUCAUUUGUUUGUAUUUCUUUCCUGAUUCUGGAGAUUUGUAUCUGAUUUGAUGUAUGACUAUGGCACUUUUUUGGUGUGUUUUGUUAUGUGAUGGUUGUUUUCAGUCAGUGAUUGAUCUUCAAGCUUUAUUUGCUUUACCUUAUGCACUCACAAGCACACACAUGGUUGGGGGUAUCAUGCUAAAUCAUAUAUCUCUGAUUAGUACGAUGAAAUCAAAUGCUAAAUAUCAGAAUAUUGCUGCCGGAUUAUUAUUUGUCUUGAUGAUGCUAGGAUCAAGAGACAAAGUGUUCCUCAUGUGGAUAAACACUGCAUUCAUGCAUGAUCAUAAUAACCUGUGUUUUAUUUUGCAGGUAUCUAUUGCUAACAUGCUUGAUUGUUUCAGGAAUCAUUGCUCGUGCUCGCAGAGUCAUACCUUUGCACUCAACUAGACCUCACAGAUACUUCACAAGACGCAACACUCCCAGACUGAUGGAUCUCCCAAAUGCUGAUAUUCUCGAGCUGAAGGACAAGAUGAGCGAGCUGAUCAACAUUAUGCAAGGCUUUGCAGUUGGUCAAAAGGCUCUGGCUGAUAAGGUCGAGAAGCUCGAGCGGGCUUCAGCAGCAAACAGUGGUGUGAACCUGGAUGGUGUCUCCAACCAGGGUCUUGGUGGGUCUAGAGAUGGCGGCAAGAGAACAACUAUUGGUGUUGUGAACAAUGCUGGUGGUUUUGGUACCGCUGGUGGUCAACCGGGUCAGAAUAUGAAGGAUAGCCUUUUCCCGCCUUUCUUCGGUAUUGAAGACGACAAAGAGGAGGAUAGGGAGGCUGAUCAAUUCUCAAUGCACAACGAGCCAUUUGGUCAGUAUGGUGCUCAACCUCAGAAUAAAGAGAUUCAGCUGCUGGCUGAAAAGAUCAGGGCUUUGGAGAGCUAUGCCACUCCUGGGGUGGUUAAUAUGUCGAACAUGGGGCUAGUAGAGGGGAUUGUGAUCCCACAAAAGUUUAAAGCGCCCACGUUUGACCGGUAUAAUGGGAGUUCCUGCCCUGAGACUCAUCUUCAGGCUUUCGUCCGUAAGAUCUCAGCUUAUACCAUGGACCAGAAGCUGUGGAUGUACUUCUUCAGGACAGCUUGUCCGGAGGCUCACUGGAAUGGUACACCAAGCUAAAGUCCUCAGAUAUCAAAAACUGGCAAGAUCUUGGGGACGCCUUCUUUAAACAAUAUCAGUUCAAUGCUGAUAUGGCCCCGAGUCGUACCCAGCUGCAGGGUAUGUCUCAGAAGAACAAUGAGGGGUUUAAAGAAUAUGCCCAAAGGUGGAGGGAGCUGGCUGCCAGAGUGCAACCUCCUCUAGUCGACAGAGAGAUGUCUGAUCUCUUUAUGGGGACCCUGCAAGGGGCAUUCGCUGAGAGAAUGGUUGGUUGUCCGGUGACCAACUUUUCUGAUAUAGUCGUGGCUGGAGAGAGGAUAGAGAGCUGGCUGAAGCUCGGGAAGAUACAGGGUAACGCUUCUUCUUCAGGGUCGAAAAAGCCUUUUGGUAAUGGUGGUCAGAGGAAGAAGGAGGGAGAUACAAGUGCUGUAUAUGCUCAAAGGGGACCCAGUAGGGAUCGUUACUUCCAGCACACCGCUGCGGUAACUAUUCCUGCUGAACAUCAGCCUGCACCGCAACAGCAGCAACAACAACAGCAACAAAGACAACCCUUCCAGCAGAGGCCUCAGAGGGCUGGCUAUCAGAUGAGGGGGAAAGCUAUGGACAAGCAGUUUGAUAGGCCUCCGGUGACCUAUUCUUUUCUGUUUAAAAAGCUGAUGGAUUUGGGGCUGGUACAAACCAGGACUUUGGCACCUUUGAGACCUGAUCAAAGGCCAGCCAACUAUGAUGAAAAUGCCAAGUGUGAAUUCCAUUCGGGUGCUCCCGGACACAAUAUAGAGAAUUGUAAAGCUUUUAAGCACACAGUUCAAGACCUGGUGGAUUCUAAGGCUAUCAACUUUGCACCAUCUCCCAAUGUCAAUGCUAAUCCCAUGCCUGCGCAUGGUCAAAGGGGGGUGAAUGCGAUAUCUGAGAAGAAUAGGGUUGGGCUGUCUGCCGUCGAUCAGUUGAAGACUCCUCUGGCUGAGGUUAAGAGGCAGUUGAUAAUGAAUGGGGUUCAUCCGGGCUGUGGAGAUGAUUGUGCUGGGUGCACUAACUCUGUUAAUGGGUGUGAACUUCUGAGGAAGACUGUCCAGGGUCUGAUGGACGAGGGGAGUAUUGUGAUUGAGAAGAAGGUUGAUGCGGGGAAAGAUGAGGUCUCCACCAUAACAAUCUACUUUGAUCCGGUGGAUUUGUCUAAUCUCGCUGAAGCGGCUCCAGUUACCAUCACGGUACCUGGACCGAUCCCGUAUGACAAAGAUGAUGCCGUGCCUUGGCAUUAUGGUGGGGAAGUCUAUUGUAAUGGUGAGAAGAUAGAUGACCAGACUGUUAGUGAAACCACCAUUUCAAAGGUGGAUAAUGCCGGUACCAGUGGUUUCACUCGUAGUGGUAGGCUGUUUGCUCCUGAUGCGUUGAGGAGAGAAGAAGGAGAGAAAGAGAAAAAAGAAAAGGCCGAGGCUUUAGCCAGGGCAAAAGGGAAAGCUGUAGUGAGAGAAGGUACUCCAGUAGUGACACCGGCGCCGGUUGGGUCGGAAGAAAAACUUGCUGAUGAUGCAGAAGAGUUCUUGAGGAUCAUCAAGAAGUCGGAGUACAAGUUGGUUGACCAUCUGCAGCAGACUCCUUCCAAAAUAUCCAUUUUGUCUUUGCUCUUGAGCUCUGAGGGGCACAGGGAGGCUUUGUUGAAAAUCUUGAAGAAAGCCUAUGUUCCUCAGGAGAUAACCAUUAAUCAGCUGGAGACGGUCGUGUCUAAUGUGCAUGCCAGCCAUGGGCUGGGCUUUACAGACAUGGACCUGACAGUGUAUGGGAGGAAUCACAACCGGGCGUUACACAUCGCUAUGGAGUGUAAAGGGGCUGUGCUUUCGCAUGUGCUGGUUGAUACCGGCUCCUCAUUAAAUGUGUUGCCGAAGAAAGCUCUGGCAAAGUUGAAUUGUGAUGGGCUGAUUUUGACUCCGACAGAUUUGAUAGUGAGGGCGUUUGACGAGUCGAAGCGGGCCGUAUUCGGAGAGGUUGAGCUGCCGGUGAAGAUUGGACCAGAGGUGUUCAAGUCAACUUUCUACGUCAUGGAUAUUCAGCCGGCAUACAGUUGCCUGUUGGGUCGCCCAUGGAUCCAUGCUGCUGGGGCAGUGACUUUGACUCUGCAUCAGAAGCUGAAGUAUAUCUGGGAAGGACAGGUUGUCACUGUGUGCGGAGAAGAGGACAUCUUUGUCAGCCACUGUCGUACCCCAAUUUUGUCCGGGCAUUUUUAAUUUUUUUUCGUAGAAUUAAUUUCAUUUUUAAUUUAGCAUCAUAUGCAUAACAUUACAUACAUUGCAUCAUGAAACACCCAAAAUGUCAGUCAGAUUGGACUUAUUUGAGAAUACAGACAAAAUCGAUUAAAUUGUCGAAAUUUGAGGAAAACAGUUUAUUUUUCAAAUAAUGUGUUUUGUGCUGAUAAUUUUGGUGUGAUUGAUUUAAACGUUCCGGAUCAAAUUUACAUUCGAUUUCUUUUUUAAUUGGUCAAUAUUUUUUGUUGAUAUUUAAUUAAAGAAAUUAGAAUAGUUUAAAUAUUUUAGUUAGUUUUAAGUAUUAGCUAUUUUAAUUAAAUAUUAGUUGAUUUUUAAAUAUUAGUUACUUAAUUAAGUUAGUUAGUUUUUUUUAAAAAAUAUUAGUUAGUUUUUUAUAUUAGUUAGUUUUUUUAUUAUAUUUAAUUAGUUUUUUAUUAGUUUAAAAUAUUAGUUAAUUUUCUUAUAUAUAUAUUAGUUAGAUUUUUUUAAAAAGAUAUUAAUUAGUUUUUUUAGAAUUUGUUAAUAAUUAUAUAAAUAUUUUAGCCUUGGAUUCUCUUUUGAUCUGCCAGCUGCUACGUCUCUUCCCACUCACUCUCCACUACUAACAACCUGAAUCCACUCACUCUCCACUACUAACAGCCUAACAAACUCCCCAACGUCUCUCUUCCCUCUCUCACCACACUCACGAAAAAAAAAUAAAAGAGGGCAAUAUUCACAUUCUCUGGGACACGCUUUGGUUCCCUCAAGAAAAAUCCUUCACACGCGUCCUUCUCUCUGAAAAGCUUCCACUCUCCUCACUCUCUGAAAUUUCUGGAAAAUACCACACGAAAGCAACCCUCAAAUAACUCCCUUCACCGUCAACACCAUCGACCACCUAUUACCGUCGCCGCUCGCCUCAAACCACCAACAUCACCCUAACCCAAAUCCUCAUCCGCCCCAUCAACUAAACCCAGCUCACAGCCGCCGUACCUGUCACCAUACAACUGCAACCGGCGAACACUCCAUCUCUCCAAACCUACUACCGCCGCCGCCAUCAUCUCACCAUCAACCUUCGUCCGUCUCCACUACCUUCAUAACCCUCUUCGCCGCUAGCUCCGCCGUUUCACCCUUCGUUCCAACCGCUAACCACCCUUCACCAUCAGCGUCGUCAAAUCGCCGUCCACGAAACCCUUAACAACCACCGUUAAAACCAGCCACCAUCAAACCCUAAAUCCGCCUACCACCACACAAAUCUCCAACCGUCACAAACCCACCCUCCGUUAAUGCCAAACCCUUAAAAUCAAACCCAUUCCGCACUACCUCUCAACCGUUCCUGUCAAAAAAAAUUUUAUGUUGGAAAUGUGUUGCUGUUGCAAUUUGUUGUUUUUCAGGGAAAAGUUUGAAGCUUUAGAGCUAUGGCCUUCAAGUUCUCGUGGUAUUUGAAGUUUGCAGGAAGGUUUGAAGCUCAUUAUUGGGAACUUUGGAACCAUAGUGAUUUCGAGAAGCCAAGAGGGAACAGCCGUGAAGCCUUUGUUCUUCAAGGAGGAGCAUCUGCAAAACUUUGAUAGAGGACUAUCCAGGGUUGGUCAAUACGACGAACACGAAGGUAACGAUUCAAAACAAAUUUUGAUGUUGGCUUUACUUU